This 436-nucleotide ribosomal RNA is filed under the name uncultured Saccharofermentans sp. Its description in RNAcentral is "partial 16S ribosomal RNA". It matches the Rfam family "Bacterial small subunit ribosomal RNA", at positions 341 to 792 of the family's 1533-position model. The record is from RNAcentral. Lineage: Bacteria; Bacillati; Bacillota; Clostridia; Eubacteriales; Oscillospiraceae.
ACGGGAGGCAGCAGUGGGGAAUAUUGGGCAAUGGGCGCAAGCCUGACCCAGCAACGCCGCGUGAAGGAUGAAGGUCUUCGGAUUGUAAACUUCUUUGAUCAGGGACGAAUAAAUGACGGUACCUGAAGAACAAGUCACGGCUAACUACGUGCCAGCAGCCGCGGUAAUACGUAGGUGACAAGCGUUAUCCGGAUUUACUGGGUGUAAAGGGCGUGUAGGCGGUUUGGCAAGUCAGAAGUGAAAUUCCCGGGCUUAACUUGGGCGCUGCUUCUGAAACUGCUUUACUUGAGUACUGGAGAGGAUAGUGGAAUUCCUAGUGUAGCGGUAAAAUGCGCAGAUAUUAGGAGGAACACCGGUGGCGAAGGCGGCUAUCUGGACAGUAACUGACGCUGAGGCGCGAAAGCACGGGGAGCAAACAGGAUUAGAUACCCUGGUA